CCUACGGGUGGCAGCAGUGGGGAAUAUUGGGCAAUGGGCGCAAGCCUGACCCAGCAACGCCGCGUGAAGGAAGAAGGCUUUCGGGUUAUAAACUUCUUUUCUCAGGGACGAAGCAAGUGACGGUACCUGAGGAAUAAGCCACGGCUAACUACGUGCCAGCAGCCGCGGUAAUACGUAGGUGGCAAGCGUUAUCCGGAUUUACUGGGUGUAAAGGGCGUGUAGGCGGGAAAGCAAGUCAGAUGUGAAAACCACGGGCUCAACCUGUGGCCUGCAUUUGAAACUGUUUUUCUUGAGUGCAGGAGAGGUAAGCGGAAUUCCUAGUGUAGCGGUGAAAUGCGUAGAUAUUAGGAGGAACACCAGUGGCGAAGGCGGCUUACUGGACUGUAACUGACGUUGAGGCUCGAAAGCGUGGGGAGCAAACAGGAUUAGAUACCCUUGUAGUC
This 443-nucleotide ribosomal RNA is filed under the name uncultured bacterium. RNAcentral's name for it is "partial 16S ribosomal RNA". It matches the Rfam family "Bacterial small subunit ribosomal RNA", at positions 338 to 795 of the family's 1533-position model. The record is from RNAcentral.